ACUCUCCCCAAUUCUGCCGACAUAGAGAGAGAGAGAGGAAGGAGGAAGCCACGGCUAAAGGGAGGGAGGAAGGAGAGAUCCGUUUUCGACGAUCCAACUCGGUGACAAGUAACGAGCCGGUCUUUUAGGAGGUGCCGAAACCGUAAGUUUGGCAUACUCCAGUCGAAUGAAAGGUGAGUGUGUCUGAUAUGAUUCUUCUCAAUAAGAUAUUGCGAUGGUGGUAUGUAUAUAUCUUGCUAAUGGUAUUUUAGCUUUCAAUAUGAUUAUCGAUAUGGAAAUAAUGCGGUGGAGGUGAUUAUAUAUCAAUGAUAUCAUGCUAAUCGAGGUUUAGCUAUUGAUAUGGAUAUAUGUGGUGGAAAUUUGUAUAUCAUGCUAUAUGUUGUCUUAGCUAAUGAUAUGCAUGCUUGUUGUAUGUUGAUUGUACCCGCGAAAGGAUUGUGGAGUGAGUCACACCAUAUCGUGGGCCGUGCCGUCUAAUUAACGGUGAAUGGGAGUGUGGUGUGCGGGACACAAUUCCUUGGGUACAUGGGAUGUGGCAGACGUGCCACUGUGUGUUGGUGUUUAUACAUGUGGUUAUACGAUUGAGUACUUAUGUUGAGUUUCGUGUGAUUUACAUUCAUGCCGUUAUUGUUAUGUGGUUGUUUAUUGAAUAAUAUUGCUAUGUUUGGCAGAUGUGGUGGUUAUAACCAAUGUACUCAUAUGGGUAUUGCAGUUAUGUUGGUGGUGAAUAUUCUUAUUGAUAUUCUUUUGGGUAUUGUGACAUUUUAUUGAGCAUUUCUAUAUCUCACACACUCUGGCUUUCCUUUUUGGACUGCCAGGUAGCAGGUGGCUUAGAGUGGGUCCACUACUGGUCAACGCUUUGGAGAGUGCUGGGACUAGUCUCGGGUGAUGUCGUUGGUUAGAUUGUUGUGUAGCUGAUUCGUCUAGAAGUUAACCUAAAUGUCUGUAAUUAAUUGGAGAGAGGGAUAUUUAUUAUAAAUUUGAGAGUUGAGGUUUUGGGCGUUGACUUGGUUGUAUUUUAAGUAAGAAGUCUUCCGCUAAUUUGUAUUCUGAUUGGUUGUA
Molecule: long non-coding RNA, 1062 nt
Organism: Rhododendron vialii
Lineage: Eukaryota; Viridiplantae; Streptophyta; Magnoliopsida; Ericales; Ericaceae
Exons: 2
Source: RefSeq, a predicted model, not a curated record